Molecule: ribosomal RNA, 90 nt
Filed under: Thiotrichales bacterium
Lineage: Bacteria; Pseudomonadati; Pseudomonadota; Gammaproteobacteria; Thiotrichales
Source: RNAcentral
CACCUGAUCCCAUUCCGAACUCAGUAGUGAAACGUCUCAGCGCCGAUGGUAGUGUGGCAGGUGCCAUGUGAGAGUAGGUCAUCUCCAAGC